UGGUUGAUUCUGCCAGUAACUAUAUGCUAGUCUCAAAGAUUAAGCCAUGCAAGUAUAAGUAUAAACCAAUUUUUAAGGUAACACCGCGAAAGGCUCAUUAAAAAAUUUAUAAUUUAAAUAAAAAUAAGGGAUAACUGUGGUAAUUCUACAGAUAAUACUGAUAAAACUUGUUUAAUUUUAAUAUUAAAUAGUAAACUUUUUUUUAAAAAAAAGUGAUAUUAUAUAAAUAAAUAAUCCAUCAUACUAGUUUUGAAGGUAGUGACUUCAAAAGGUAAUUACAGAUAACGGGGAAUUAGGGUUUGAUUCCGGAGAUGGAGCCUGAGAAAUAGCUACAACUUCUAAGGAAGGCAGCAGGCGCGCAAAUUACCCAAUUAUAGAAAAUAUAGAGGUAGUGACAAGAUGUAUUUUUUAUUUUAAAAAAAAAGAAUAUUUUUAGUAAAAAUAAAAAUUAUUAAAUAGAGGGAAAGUCUGGUGCCAGCAGCCGCGGUAAUUCCAGUUCUAUUAGUUUAUGUUAUGAUUGUUGCAGUUAAAACGCUCGUAGCUUAAUUUAUAAUAUUAUGAGUAAAAUAAAAGGAUUAAAAUAAAGAUUUUUAAUUUUAAAAAAAAGAAUUAUAUUGAAUAAAUAGCAUAAUACAUAAUAAUAAACAAUACAUUAAUGAAUUUUUAAUUUUUUGGGAAGGGGUGAAAUCCAGUGAUCCAAAUAAGAAAAACAAAGGCGAAAGCAAAAAACAGAAUGUAAUUGGUUAGCAAAGAGCAAAAGUUGAGGGAGCAAAAACGAUUAGAUACCGUUGUAGUCUCAACAGUAAGCUAUGCCGGUGAAUUGGACGUUUUUUAAUUAAAUUUUUAUUAUAAAUGUUCAAAUAGUAGAAAUUAGAACCAGGUUCUGGGGGGAGUAUGGUCACAAGACUGAAACUUGAAAGAAUUGACGGAAAGGCACCACCAGGAAUGGGGUGUGCGGUUUAAUUUGACUCAACACGGGGAAAUUUACCAAGGCCAAAUAUUUAAUGAUUGACGAUUUAAAGGGUUUUCAUAAAAAUAUAGUAGUGGUGCAUGGCCGUUCUUUGUUCGUGGAAUCAUCUGUCAGGUUGAUUCCGAUAACGAGCGAGACGAUAGUAUUAAAUUUAGGAUUAAUAAAAUAUCAUUUUUAAAAUGAGAGAAUAUUGCGAUAACAGGUCAGUGAUGCCCUUUGAUGUCUUGGGCAACACGCGCGCUACAAUAAUUAAUAUAGAAAGGUAUACAGAUUAGAAAUGAUUUGUUAAACAAAAAGAUUAAUUGUAGUUAGGAUUGUAUUUUGGAAUAUUACAUGAAUUAGGAAUUCCUUGUAAUCACUUUUCAGCAUAAAGUGAUGAAUGCGUCCCUGCCUUUUGUACACACCGCCCGUCGCUACUACCGAUGAGUUAUUAGGCGAGGAUUUUGGAUAAAGAUUGGUAUUUACAUGACUAGAAGAAAUUCCAAGCCUUAUAGCUUAGAGGAAGUACAAGUCGUAACAAGGUUUCCGUAGGGGAACCUGCGGAAGGAUCAU
This 1522-nucleotide ribosomal RNA is filed under the name Neozygites sp. XZ-2015. Its description in RNAcentral is "partial 18S ribosomal RNA". It matches the Rfam family "Eukaryotic small subunit ribosomal RNA". Lineage: Eukaryota; Fungi; Entomophthoromycota; Neozygitomycetes; Neozygitales; Neozygitaceae. The record is from RNAcentral.